UCAAGUAAUUAAGUGCAUGUGGUGGAUGCCUUGGCAGUCAGAGGCGAUGAAAGACGUGAUAGCCUGCGAAAAGCUCCGGGGAGGCGGCAAAUAUCCUUUGAUCCGGAGAUGUCUGAAUGGGGGAACCCACCUACUUUAAGGUAGGUAUUGCAACAUGAAUACAUAGUGUUGCAAGGCGAACGAGGGGAAGUGAAACAUCUCAGUACCCUUAGGAAAAGAAAUCAAUUGAGAUUCCCUCAGUAGCGGCGAGCGAACGGGGAUCAGCCCAUUAAGUUAUGUGUGUUUUAGUGGAACGCUCUGGGAAGUGCGAACGUAGAGGGUGAUAUUCCCGUACACGAAAGGGCACACAUAAUGAUGACGAGUAGGGCGAGGCACGUGAAACCUUGUCUGAAUAUGGGGGGACCAUCCUCCAAGGCUAAAUACUCCUGACUGACCGAUAGUGAACCAGUACCGUGAGGGAAAGGCGAAAAGAACCCCUGUGAGGGGAGUGAAAUAGAUCCUGAAACCGCAUGCAUACAAGCAGUGGGAGCACCUUCGUGGUGUGACUGCGUACCUUUUGUAUAAUGGGUCAGCGACUUAUAUUCAGUAGCAAGGUUAACCGUAUAGGGGAGCCGUAGAGAAAUCGAGUCUUAAUAGGGCGUUUAGUUGCUGGGUAUAGACCCGAAACCAGGCGAUCUAUCCAUGAGCAGGUUGAAGGUUGGGUAACACUAACUGGAGGACCGAACCCACUGUCGUUGAAAAGCCAGGGGAUGACUUGUGGAUAGGGGUGAAAGGCUAAUCAAGCCUGGUGAUAGCUGGUUCUCCCCGAAAGCUAUUUAGGUAGCGCCUCGGACGAAUACCAUAGGGGGUAGAGCACUGUUUCGGCUAGGGGGUCAUCCCGACUUACCAAACCGAUGCAAACUCCGAAUACCUAUGAGUACUAUCCGGGAGACAGACUGCGGGUGCUAACGUCCGUAGUCAAGAGGAAAACAAUCCAGACCGCCAGCUAAGGCCCCAAAAUCAUAGUUAAGUGGGAAACGAUGUGGGAAGGCAUAGACAGCUAGGAGGUUGGCUUAGAAGCAGCCACCCUUUAAAGAAAGCGUAAUAGCUCACUAGUCGAGUCGGCCUGCGCGGAAGAUGUAACGGGGCUAAAACUAUGUGCCGAAGCUGCGGAUNNGCUGGAGGUAUCAGAAGUGCGAAUGCUGACGUGAGUAACGACAAAACGGGUGAAAAACCCGUUCGCCGAAAGACCAAGGGUUCCAGUCCAACGUUAAUCGGGGCUGGGUGAGUCGACCCCUAAGGCGAGGCCGAAAGGCGUAGUCGAUGGGAAAAUGGUUAAUAUUCCAUUACUUCUGUGUAAUGCGAUGAGAGGACGGAGAAGGCUAAAUCAGCCUGGCGUUGGUUGUCCAGGUGAAAGGAUGUAGGCAUGUAUCUUAGGCAAAUCCGGGGUACUCUAUGCUGAGAUCUGAUAGCAAGCUGUACUUGUACAGCGAAGUGGUUGAUGCCAUGCUUCCAGGAAAAGUCUCUAAGCUUCAGUUACACAGGAAUCGUACCCGAAACCGACACAGGUGGUCAGGUCGAGUAGACCAAGGCGCUUGAGAGAACUCUGCUGAAGGAACUAGGCAAAAUGGUACCGUAACUUCGGGAGAAGGUACGCUGUUGUUGGUGAUGGAACUCGCUUCCUGAGCUGACGACAGCCGCAGAAACCAGGCCGCUGCAACUGUUUAUUAAAAACAUAGCACUCUGCAAACACGAAAGUGGACGUAUAGGGUGUGAUGCCUGCCCGGUGCUGGAAGGUUAAUUGAUGGGGUUAGCGUAAGCGAAGCUCUUGAUCGAAGCCCCAGUAAACGGCGGCCGUAACUAUAACGGUCCUAAGGUAGCGAAAUUCCUUGUCGGGUAAGUUCCGACCUGCACGAAUGGCAUAAUGAUGGCGGCGCUGUCUCCAGCAGAGGCUCAGUGAAAUCGAAAUCGCUGUGAAGAUGCAGUGUACCCGCGGCUAGACGGAAAGACCCCGUGAACCUUUACUGCAGCUUGACACUGAACUUUGACCUUACUUGUGUAGGAUAGGUGGGAGGCUUUGAAGCUGGAACGCUAGUUCCAGUGGAGCCGUCCUUGAAAUACCACCCUGGUAAUGUUGAGGUUCUAACUCUGUCCCGUGAUCCGGGACGAGGACCGUGUCUGGUGGGUAGUUUGACUGGGGCGGUCUCCUCCUAAAGAGUAACGGAGGAGUACGAAGGUGCGCUCAGCGUGGUCGGAAAUCACGCGUAGAGUAUAAAGGCAAAAGCGCGCUUAACUGCGAGACCCACAAGUCGAGCAGGUACGAAAGUAGGUCUUAGUGAUCCGGUGGUUCUGUAUGGAAGGGCCAUCGCUCAACGGAUAAAAGGUACUCUGGGGAUAACAGGCUGAUACCGCCCAAGAGUUCAUAUCGACGGCGGUGUUUGGCACCUCGAUGUCGGCUCAUCUCAUCCUGGGGCUGAAGCAGGUCCCAAGGGUAUGGCUGUUCGCCAUUUAAAGAGGUACGCGAGCUGGGUUUAGAACGUCGUGAGACAGUUCGGUCCCUAUCUACCGUGGGCGCUGGAAAUUUGAGAGGAUCUGCUCCUAGUACGAGAGGACCAGAGUGGACGAACCUCUGGUGUACCGGUUGUGACGCCAGUCGCAUCGCCGGGUAGCUAUGUUCGGAAGGGAUAACCGCUGAAAGCAUCUAAGCGGGAAGCCUACCUCAAGAUAAGAUUUCCCUAGGACUUUAUGUCCUCUAAAGAGCCGUUCGAGACUAGGACGUUGAUAGGUUGGAUGUGGAAGCAUAGUGAUAUGUGAAGCUGACCAAUACUAAUUGCUCGUGAGGCUUGACUAU
RNAcentral lists this ribosomal RNA (2830 nucleotides) under Acinetobacter baumannii. RNAcentral's name for it is "bacterial LSU rRNA". It matches the Rfam family "Bacterial large subunit ribosomal RNA". Lineage: Bacteria; Pseudomonadati; Pseudomonadota; Gammaproteobacteria; Moraxellales; Moraxellaceae. The record is from RNAcentral.